This 459-nucleotide ribosomal RNA is filed under the name uncultured bacterium. Its description in RNAcentral is "partial 16S ribosomal RNA". It matches the Rfam family "Bacterial small subunit ribosomal RNA", at positions 339 to 795 of the family's 1533-position model. The record is from RNAcentral.
CUACGGGUGGCUGCAGUGAGGAAUAUUGGUCAAUGGGCGCAAGCCUGAACCAGCCAUCCCGCGUGGAGGAAGACGGCCCUAUGGGUUGUAAACUCCUUUUAUAAGGGAAGAAUAUACGUAUCGUGAUAUGUUUUGACGGUACCUUAUGAAUAAGCAUCGGCUAACUCCGGGCCAGCAGCCGCGGUAAUACGGAGGAUGCAAGCGUUAUCCGGAUUCAUUGGGUUUAAAGGGUGCGCAGGCGGACCAAUAAGUCAGUGGUGAAAUCUUACGGCUCAACCGUGAAACUGCCAUUGAUACUGUUAGUCUUGAGUACGGCUGAGGUAGGCGGAAUGUGUAAUGUAGCGGUGAAAUGCUUAGAUAUUACACAGAACACCAAUUGCGUAGGCAGCUUACUAGACCGUAACUGACGCUGAGGCACGAAAGCGUGGGUAGCGAACAGGAUUAGAUACCCGAGUAGUC